GACGAACGCUGGCGGCGUGCCUAAUACAUGCAAGUAGAACGCUGAAGAGAGGAGCUUGCUCUUCUUGGAUGAGUUGCGAACGGGUGAGUAACGCGUAGGUAACCUGCCUUGUAGCGGGGGAUAACUAUUGGAAACGAUAGCUAAUACCGCAUAACAAUGGAUGACACAUGUCAUUUAUUUGAAAGGGGCAAUUGUUCCACUACAAGAUGGACCUGCGUUGUAUUAGCUAGUAGGUGAGGUAAUGGCUCACCUAGGCGACGAUACAUAGCCGACCUGAGAGGGUGAUCGGCCACACUGGGACUGAGACACGGCCCAGACUCCUACGGGAGGCAGCAGUAGGGAAUCUUCGGCAAUGGGGGCAACCCUGACCGAGCAACGCCGCGUGAGUGAAGAAGGUUUUCGGAUCGUAAAGCUCGGUUGUAAGUCAAGAACGGGUGUGAGAGUGGAAAGUUCACACUGUGACGGUAGCUUACCAGAAAGGGACGGCUAACUACGUG
This 497-nucleotide ribosomal RNA is filed under the name uncultured bacterium. Its description in RNAcentral is "partial 16S ribosomal RNA". It matches the Rfam family "Bacterial small subunit ribosomal RNA", at positions 28 to 507 of the family's 1533-position model. The record is from RNAcentral.